GGCCAACCCUUCUCCCCCAAUAACACAAGCUCUUUUCUUGAACACGCUUCUUCCUCCAUUGAAAAUCCAACUUCUCCUUCACGCCAUUUAGCCUUUCCAAUCAGAUGAAACUUAUAACCCUUAAGUUUUGAAAUUCAAAUCACACUUCUUUCACUACUGUUGCAGAAUUAGGGUUCUUCGAAUUGUGAUUUCUUGCUGCCGGUUCUCUCUCUAAAAAUCCAACCCAGCCGCCUCCUUCAGCUAGACCAUAGAUUCUCAUCUUCGUCUUUAAGUUCACCCAUUAGGGUUGGCUUGAAGAUGGUGUUGAGCAGGGCUCUGGGUGGUGAGAAAGGGAAGUCUACAACAAAUUCAAGAACAACUUGCUGCAAGUAUAUUACAAUAAGAUGUUGCCAAACUAACAAAAAGGUUUAGACAUGAAGAUAAUGCUCAUAGAGCUUUCGAAGGGCACUUACUAGAGCUUUAGGAGCUCUUUACUGAUUACCGUCUUAUCUCUCUCCUACAGCAUUAGAAUUUCUAGCAGAAGUUGUCUUGGAAGAAGAAGCUGUUAGACUUGAAGAACAAGUUGUUCAAUUAGGCUUCAAGUACAAGUGGUUCAUUUUAGAUAAGGCCUUUAGCAAGAAGCAAUUUGCGUUUGAUCUUAAAAAAGAAUCCUUGAAAACUCAAUGUUCCUGUUGUUUGGGUUAAAACAGGAACCGAAACCGUAAUGGUUAUUCGGUCAGGUUUACAUGAAAUUGAAUUGAAUGUUUUCUAAAUGAUUUCAGGGGCAGAUUUAGAUGUUAAUGGUCAUAGCACUUCAAACAACAAAAAUUUACAGCUGUAAGUAUUACCCCUUUCAAAUACCAAAUGGUUUAGUUAUAAUCCAACUUCAAGUUAUAAUCCAACGUCAGUUUUCAUAUUCUUAAUAAGUCUUUCGUCAGAAUAAUAUCUUUAACAUAUCUCAUUCUUUUGUGAGCAUCAUGUUGGCUGUUGCCUGGAGAGAGUUAAUUUCUACAGCUGCAGGAAAAAAUAGAGUCAGUUACCGACGUUCUCAAGGGAAUAUUAAGUCCUGUUGUCAAUGAAGAAGAAGAGAUUUGUUGGCCUCCUCGGGAUCCAAACGCCCUCAGCCUCAUGGAAAAAGAAGUAAGCCAAAGGGAGCAAGAAGGCCAAUUGGACGAGGGAUUCCUAGCAGAAGUCAGUGCACAACUACGGCAGGCUAAGGAAGAUAAAGACAAACCAGGUCUUGAGGCAAUGCUGCAAAAAGUUUUGCAACUGUAUGCAUCAAGAGUCCUCUCAAAACCUAGUUAUGCCAUGAAAGGGGAUGAAGUUUUAAAAGCCGAACAAUGUCUUGAAGAAAUUAUCAAAAGUGCAGGAAAAAAUAGAGUCAGCUACCGACGUUCUCAAGAGAAUAUUAAGUCCUAUUGUCAAUGAAGAAGAAGAGAUUUAUUGGCCUCCUUGGGAUCCAAACGCCCUCAGCCUCAUGGAAAAAGUAUGGUUUGCUUAAAUAGUUAGUGUGUCAAAUUCGAUUAAAAUUGUAAUAGUUCAAUGAUAAUUUCAUUGAUUAAGUAAAUUUACCUAGGUGACUUAUGCAUUAAAAUACACUUUGGGCCACUUUCAAGUCAAUGAUAUUUUUGCACGAAAAAGUAUGGUUCCGCAUUAAUGAAUUAUGGUUAAAGCAUUAUGUACUUUUGAAGUUUUGUUGGUUUAUUAUAGUGUUUUGGUUUCA
This is an RNA transcript of Helianthus annuus (common sunflower), 1702 nucleotides long. RefSeq lists it as uncharacterized. The transcript has 8 exons. The record is from RefSeq and is a predicted model, not a curated record. NCBI's taxonomy places the organism in Eukaryota, Viridiplantae, Streptophyta, Magnoliopsida, Asterales, Asteraceae.